AGGUGAUUAGUUAAAAGGCAUAAUAUUUGAUUUCGGCUCAAAAGUUUAUGGUUCAACCCCAUAAUUAACCUG
Molecule: transfer RNA, 72 nt
Filed under: Dentex dentex (common dentex)
Lineage: Eukaryota; Metazoa; Chordata; Actinopteri; Spariformes; Sparidae
Description: tRNA-Arg
Rfam family: tRNA
About the family: Transfer RNA (tRNA) molecules are approximately 80 nucleotides in length. Their secondary structure includes four short double-helical elements and three loops (D, anti-codon, and T loops). Further hydrogen bonds mediate the characteristic L-shaped molecular structure. tRNAs have two regions of fundamental functional importance: the anti-codon, which is responsible for specific mRNA codon recognition, and the 3' end, to which the tRNAs corresponding amino acid is attached (by aminoacyl-tRNA synthetases). tRNAs cope with the degeneracy of the genetic code in two manners: having more than one tRNA (with a specific anti-codon) for a particular amino acid; and 'wobble' base-pairing, i.e. permitting non-standard base-pairing at the 3rd anti-codon position.
Source: RNAcentral